RNAcentral lists this long non-coding RNA (970 nucleotides) under Betta splendens (Siamese fighting fish). RNAcentral describes it as "lncRNA (ENSBSLG00000024964.1)". The record is from RNAcentral. Lineage: Eukaryota; Metazoa; Chordata; Actinopteri; Anabantiformes; Osphronemidae.
AAUUAUAACCAGGGCGGCACCUUUUGUUGGUUGACGUGGUCGCCAUAUUGUAAACAAACAGGGAUGUCCUGCUGUUCCUCUCUUUAGCUCACCGGGUGUUCAGAUAUAAACGAGGCAGACAUUUACAGGAGAGGAAACCUUAAUUGUAAUAGUGAUGUAAUUUACUGUGAUGCAACUGAAGCAAACUAAAUGCGUUUAGCAAUUUGUUUCUUUUUUUCUAUAAAGUGUGAAUUUAGUUAAGGAACAUAGAAGAAAACCUGCAAUAUAUGAUUAUUCUAAUAGUUACUAUAUAUAAUAAUGCUGGCUGAAUUCAUCUGUUUAUUGCUUUCUCUCUUUUCUUUCACCACUGCACUGAUCUACUGCUUGGACCAAAGCCACGAUGUAACACUUUAGUCUGAGAGCUGGAUGCUGCCUGAUGGAGAGCACUGCUGUAGAAGCUAACUUGGGAAGGUUUGGGUCCCAUGAUGCUGCAGUCUAUAUACUGUAUGGGUGAAUAUUGCCGACAGAGGGCGCUAAUCUAGUGCACAAUGAAUGCUGUCCUAAAGAACAUGGAAUCGGAUACCAAAUCAUGCUGGAUUGAGGCUCGGGCCGCCGAGUGAGACGUGCAGCAAGUGUUGUGGCUGCGUUGGUUUCCCGGCUCUCCACAUUUUCCCCGGUUGUCUCGUCCUAAGAGACAAGUGAAACCGUCCCCCGCACCUUGUACGCAAGCUGAUGAACUGAUAUGAGCAAAUGGGAGGAUGCAGACACUGCUGUCAGUGCUGAUGAGGGACAGGAGCUACGGGCCGGCCUUUACUGCACCGCGCUGAGUCUCUCUGCAUUGAGGAGCACUUGAGGCGAGCUGGAUAGAGAACGUUUGUCGAUGCUCCUGGGAUUGAUGGGUGGAACACGGGCUAAACGAAGGCCACCAAUCCCUCUUAGAGCCAAAGCCAAAGACAAUAAACAAAACUUUGGUUAAAAAAGUGAGCCUCUC